AACACAUGCAAGUCGAACGCAGUAGCAAUACUGAGUGGCAAACGGGUGAGUAUAAUGUGGGAAUCUGCCUUUUGGUUCGGAAUAACACGAGGAAACUUGUGCUAAUACCGGAUAAGCCCUUACGGGGAAAGUUUUAAUGCCAAAAGAUGAGCCCGCACUUGAUUAGCUAGUUGGUAAGGUAAUGGCUUACCAAGGCAACGAUCAAUAGCUGUUCUUAGAGGAAGACCAGCCACAUUGGGACUGAGACACGGCCCAAACUCCUACGGGAGGCAGCAGUGGGGAAUCUUGCACAAUGGGGGAAACCCUGAUGCAGCGAUGCCGCGUGAGUGAAGAAGGCCCUUGGGUUGUAAAACUCUUUCGUCGGGGAAGAAAAUGACUGUACCCGAAUAAGAAGGUCCGGCUAACUUCGUGCCAGCAGCCGCGGUAAUACGAAGGGACCUAGCGUAGUUCGGAAUUACUGGGCUUAAAGAGUUCGUAGGUGGUUAAAAAAGUUGAUGGUGAAAUCCCAAGGCUCAACCUUGGAACUGCCAUCAAAACUUUUUAGCUAGAGUGUGAUAGAGGAAAGUGGAAUUUCUAGUGUAGAGGUGAAAUUCGUAGAUAUUAGAAAGAACAUCAAAAGCGAAGGCAACUUUCUGGAUCAUUACUGACACUGAGGAACGAAAGCAUGGGUAGCGAAGAGGAUUAGAUACCCUCGUAGUCCAUGCCGUAAACGAUGUGUGCUAGACGUUGGAAACUUAGUUUUCAGUGUCGCAGCGAAAGCAUUAAGCACACCGCCUGGGGAGUACGACCGCAAGGUUA
This 798-nucleotide ribosomal RNA is filed under the name uncultured bacterium. RNAcentral's name for it is "bacterial SSU rRNA". It matches the Rfam family "Bacterial small subunit ribosomal RNA", at positions 50 to 896 of the family's 1533-position model. The record is from RNAcentral.